CAGGCUUAACACAUGCAAGUCGAGCGGAAACGAUGAUAGCUUGCUAUCAGGCGUCGAGCGGCGGACGGGUGAGUAAUACUUAGGAAUCUACCUAGUAGUGGGGGAUAGCACGGGGAAACUCGUAUUAAUACCGCAUACGACCUACGGGAGAAAGGGGGCAGUUUACUGCUCUCGCUAUUAGAUGAGCCUAAGUCGGAUUAGCUAGAUGGUGGGGUAAAGGCCUACCAUGGCGACGAUCUGUAGCUGGUCUGAGAGGAUGAUCAGCCACACCGGGACUGAGACACGGCCCGGACUCCUACGGGAGGCAGCAGUGGGGAAUAUUGGACAAUGGGGGAAACCCUGAUCCAGCCAUGCCGCGUGUGUGAAGAAGGCCUUUUGGUUGUAAAGCACUUUAAGCAGUGAAGAAGACUCCGUGGUUAAUACCCACGGACGAUGACAUUAGCUGCAGAAUAAGCACCGGCUAACUCUGUGCCAGCAGCCGCGGUAAUACAGAGGGUGCAAGCGUUAAUCGGAAUUACUGGGCGUAAAGGGAGCGUAGGUGGCUCGAUAAGUCAGAUGUGAAAUCCCCGGGCUCAACCUGGGAACUGCAUCUGAUACUGUUGAGCUAGAGUAUGUGAGAGGAAGGUAGAAUUCCAGGUGUAGCGGUGAAAUGCGUAGAGAUCUGGAGGAAUACCGAUGGCGAAGGCAGCCUUCUGGCAUAAUACUGACACUGAGGCUCGAAAGCGUGGGUAGCAAACAGGAUUAGAUACCCUGGUAGUCCACGCCGUAAACGAUGUCUACUAGUCGUUGGGUCCCUUGAGGACUUAGUGACGCAGCUAACGCAAUAAGUAGACCGCCUGGGGAGUACGGCCGCAAGGUUAAAACUCAAAUGAAUUGACGGGGGCCCGCACAAGCGGUGGAGCAUGUGGUUUAAUUCGAUGCAACGCGAAGAACCUUACCUGGUCUUGACAUAUCUAGAAUCCUGCAGAGAUGCGGGAGUGCCUUCGGG
RNAcentral lists this ribosomal RNA (988 nucleotides) under Psychrobacter sp. BTN11. RNAcentral describes it as "bacterial SSU rRNA". It matches the Rfam family "Bacterial small subunit ribosomal RNA", at positions 43 to 1024 of the family's 1533-position model. The record is from RNAcentral. Lineage: Bacteria; Pseudomonadati; Pseudomonadota; Gammaproteobacteria; Moraxellales; Moraxellaceae.